AUUGAACGCUGGCGGCAUGCCUUACACAUGCAAGUCGAACGGCAGCACGGGGGCAACCCUGGUGGCGAGUGGCGAACGGGUGAGUAAUGCAUCGGAACGUGCCCAGUAGUGGGGGAGUAACUAGUCGAAAGAUUAGCUAAUACCGCAUACGACCUACGGGUGAAAGCGGGGAUUCGCAAGAACCUCGCGCUAUCGGAGCGGCCGAUGUCUGAUUAGCUAGUUGGCGGGGAAAAGCCCACCAAGGCUUCGAUCAGUAGCUGGUCUGAGAGGACGACCAGCCACACUGGGACUGAGACACGGCCCAGACUCCUACGGGAGGCAGCAGUGGGGAA
This 332-nucleotide ribosomal RNA is filed under the name uncultured bacterium. Its description in RNAcentral is "bacterial SSU rRNA". It matches the Rfam family "Bacterial small subunit ribosomal RNA", at positions 29 to 361 of the family's 1533-position model. The record is from RNAcentral.